This 513-nucleotide ribosomal RNA is filed under the name uncultured bacterium. RNAcentral describes it as "partial 16S ribosomal RNA". It matches the Rfam family "Bacterial small subunit ribosomal RNA", at positions 28 to 523 of the family's 1533-position model. The record is from RNAcentral.
GAUGAACGCUGGCGGCGUGCCUAAUACAUGCAAGUCGAGCGAACAGAUAAGGAGCUUGCUCCUUUGAAGUUAGCGGCGGACGGGUGAGUAACACGUGGGUAACCUACCUAUAAGACCGGGAUAACUUCGGGAAACCGGAGCUAAUACCGGAUAACAUUUAGAACCGCAUGGUUCUAAAGUGAAAGAUGGUUUCGCUAUCACUUAUAGAUGGACCCGCGCCGUAUUAGCUAGUUGGUAAGGUAACGGCUUACCAAGGCGACGAUACGUAGCCGACAUGAGAGGGUGAUCGGACACACUGGAACUGAGACACGGUCCAGACUCCUACGGGAGGCAGCAGUAGGGAAUCUUCCGCAAUGGGCGAAAGCCUGACGGAGCAACGCCGCGUGAGUGAUGAAGGGUUUCGGCUCGUAAAACUCUGUUAUUAGGGAAGAACAAAUGUGUAAGUAACUGUGCACAUCUUGACGGUACCUAAUCAGAAAGCCACGGCUAACUACGUGCCAGCCGCCGCAGUAA